This 497-nucleotide ribosomal RNA is filed under the name uncultured bacterium. RNAcentral describes it as "partial 16S ribosomal RNA". It matches the Rfam family "Bacterial small subunit ribosomal RNA", at positions 28 to 507 of the family's 1533-position model. The record is from RNAcentral.
GAUGAACGCUGGCGGCGUGCCUAAUACAUGCAAGUCGAGCGAACGGACGAGAAGCUUGCUUCUCUGAUGUUAGCGGCGGACGGGUGAGUAACACGUGGAUAACCUACCUAUAAGACUGGGAUAACUUCGGGAAACCGGAGCUAAUACCGGAUAAUAUUUUGAACCGCAGGGUUCAAAAGUGAAAGACGGUCUUGCUGUCACUGAUAGAUGGAUCCGCGCUGCAUUAGCUAGUUGGUAAGGUAACGGCUGACCAAGGCAACGAUGCAUAGCCGACCUGAGAGGGUGAUCGGCCACACUGGAACUGAGACACGGUCCAGACUCCUACGGGAGGCAGCAGUAGGGAAUCUUCCGCAAUGGGCGAAAGCCUGACGGAGCAACGCCGCGUGAGUGAUGAAGGUCUUCGGAUCGUAAAACUCUGUUAUUAGGGAAGAACAUAUGUGUAAGUAACUGUGCACAUCUUGACGGUACCUAAACAGAAAGCCACGGCUAACUACGUG